CAGCAGCCGCGGUAAUACGGAGGGUGCAAGCGUUGUUCGGAAUUAUUGGGCGUAAAGCGCGUGUAGGCGGUUUGUUAAGUCUGGUGUGAAAGCCCUGGGCUCAACCUGGGAAGUGCAUUGGAUACUGGCAAACUUGAGUACGGGAGAGGAUAGUGGAAUUUCGAGUGUAGGGGUGAAAUCCGUAGAUAUUCGAAGGAACACCGGUGGCGAAGGCGGCUAUCUGGACCGAUACUGACGCUGAGACGCGAAAGCGUGGGGAGCAAACAGGAUUAGAUACCCUGGUAGUCCACGCCGUAAACGAUGGGCACUAGGUGUCGCGGGUAUUGACCCCUGCGGUGCCGAAGCUAACGCAUUAAGUGCCCCGCCUGGGGAGUACGGUCGCAAGACUAAAACUCAAAGGAAUUGACGGGG
Molecule: ribosomal RNA, 411 nt
Filed under: uncultured bacterium
Lineage: Bacteria
Description: bacterial SSU rRNA
Rfam family: Bacterial small subunit ribosomal RNA
Source: RNAcentral